UACGUAGGGUGCGAGCGUUAAUCGGAAUUACUGGGCGUAAAGCGUGCGCAGGCGGCGCGUUAAGACAGGUGUGAAAGCCCCGAGCUUAACUUGGGAAUUGCGCUUGUGACUGGCGUGCUGGAGUGUGGCAGAGGGAGGUGGAAUUCCACGUGUAGCAGUGAAAUGCGUAGAGAUGUGGAGGAACACCGAUGGCGAAGGCAGCCUCCUGGGCCAGCACUGACGCUCAUGCACGAAGCGUGGGAGCAAACAGGA
Molecule: ribosomal RNA, 252 nt
Filed under: uncultured bacterium
Lineage: Bacteria
Description: partial 16S ribosomal RNA
Rfam family: Bacterial small subunit ribosomal RNA
Source: RNAcentral